This is a non-coding RNA of Kluyvera intermedia, 88 nucleotides long. The record is from Rfam. NCBI's taxonomy places the organism in Bacteria, Pseudomonadati, Pseudomonadota, Gammaproteobacteria, Enterobacterales, Enterobacteriaceae.
GCUAUUAUGCCAGGGCCAGCUUCUGUUAUUCAUUUCCAAAACAGAUGCGGUGUGCGUAAUUACGUGCAUGAAUAAUCAUCAGAAGUCA